This 310-nucleotide ribosomal RNA is filed under the name uncultured eukaryote. RNAcentral's name for it is "partial 18S ribosomal RNA". It matches the Rfam family "Eukaryotic small subunit ribosomal RNA", at positions 592 to 975 of the family's 1831-position model. The record is from RNAcentral.
CAGUAGCGUAUAUUAAAGUUGUUGCAAUUAAAAUGCUCGUAGUUGAAGUUCGGAUGCAGCAGAGCUUGGAAACGCUGUUAUGGUGCAUCUUACUUUGAGAAACAUAGGGUGUUCCACGCAUGUUACAGCAUGAAUAUUCCAGCAUGGGAUAAUCUGGUACGACUUCCAAUCUGCCAUUUUGGUUCGUAGGUUGGAAGUAAUGAUUAAUAGGGACUGUCGGGGGCAUUGGUAUUUGACUGUCAGAGGUGAAAUUCUUAGAUUCGUUGAGGACCAACCACUGCGAAAGCAUUUGUCAAGGAUGUCUNCAUUA